CCUACGGGCGGCAGCAGUGAGGAAUAUUGGUCAAUGGGCGGGAGCCUGAACCAGCCAAGUCGCGUGAGGGAAGACGGUCCUAUGGAUUGUAAACCUCUUUAGGCGGGGAGCAAUGCCGGGCACGCGUGCCCGGAGGGAGAGUACCCGCAGAAUAAGCAUCGGCUAACUCCGUGCCAGAAGCCGCGGUAAUACGGAGGAUGCGAUCGUUAUCCGGAUUUAUUGGGGUUAAAGGGUGCGUAGGCGGAUUUUUAAGUCAGCGGUAAAAUGUCCGGGCUCAACCCGGGCCGGCCGUUGAAACUGGGGAGCUUGAGUGGGCGAGAAGUAUGCGGAAUGCGUGGUGUAGCGGUGAAAUGCAUAGAUAGCACGCAGAACUCCGAUUGCGAAGGCAGCAUACCGGCGCCCGACUGACGCUGAGGCACGAAAGCGUGGGGAUCGAACAGGAUUAGAUACCCUUGUAGUC
RNAcentral lists this ribosomal RNA (460 nucleotides) under uncultured bacterium. Its description in RNAcentral is "partial 16S ribosomal RNA". It matches the Rfam family "Bacterial small subunit ribosomal RNA", at positions 338 to 795 of the family's 1533-position model. The record is from RNAcentral.